This 494-nucleotide ribosomal RNA is filed under the name uncultured bacterium. RNAcentral describes it as "partial 16S ribosomal RNA". It matches the Rfam family "Bacterial small subunit ribosomal RNA", at positions 28 to 507 of the family's 1533-position model. The record is from RNAcentral.
GACGAACGCUGGCGGCGUGCUUAACACAUGCAAGUCGAACGGUGAAGCGCCUUCCUUUUUGGUGGGUGUGGAUGAGUGGCGAACGGGUGAGUAACACGUGAGUAUCCUUCCCCCUUCUUCUUGAUAACCGCAUGAAAGUGUGGCUAAUACGGGAUUUUCCGGGUCUGUCGCAUGAUGGGUCUGGGAAAGAUAUUGUUUCGGUGGGGGAUGGGCUCGCGGCCUAUCCGGUUGUUGGUGGGGUGAUGGCCUACCAAGGCGGUGACGGGUAGCCGGCCUGGGCGGGUGGACGGGCAGACUGGGAAGGAGACACGGCCCAGACUCCUAUGGGAGGCAGCAGUGAGGAAUAUUGGACGAUGGGGGCAAGAAUGAUGCAGCGACGCCGCGUGAGGGAUGGAGCCCUUCGGGUUGUGAACCUCUUUCGCUAGUGAAGCAGGCCUGCCUCGUUUGUGGGUGGGUUGACGGUAGCUGGAUAAGAAGCGCCGGCUAACUACGUG